Molecule: long non-coding RNA, 634 nt
Organism: Panicum virgatum (switchgrass)
Lineage: Eukaryota; Viridiplantae; Streptophyta; Magnoliopsida; Poales; Poaceae
Exons: 4
Source: RefSeq, a predicted model, not a curated record
CCGCCAUUGCCGUCGACCGCCGGCCGGAGUCCCGCGACCCAAUCCUAACGCGCGGGAACUCAUUCAUCAUCUUGCCAUCGUGCGUUCCGAGCUCGGCAUGUUGAUCCACUCCCGUCGUCAUUGCCCACAGGAGCUUCUUCGAUGGUGUAGCAUUUGGGCGGAUCCGGCACGGCAGCCCACUUUGAUCCAGCUGCACGCGAUGUGCGGUAGAAGCAUCCCCAGGCCCUUGCCCAGCAAUCUGCUCUUCUGAUGGAUGAGAUAGUACAUGAAUUUUGGCUGACGAUUGUUGCAAUCAUGGAGUUGCAGGAUAUUUUUCCUAUUUCCCAUUUGAUUCCAUGAAGCAGCACACCAGGGUGUGGAAAUCCAAGUUCCAGGGUACAGGUUCCUCUAGCUCAGGUACGACAGGCCUGUGAAGCAGUAGUGCAAGACAGUUCAUGUCAGCUCACCUUGCAGCGGUCGCAGCAGCCACGUCUCCAAGGGAUGGAACCUGGCAGCUCAUCUGCUGCACCAGGAUCAGUGCCACCCCGUCCAAGGGAGCCCAUCCGCCAUGCCCGUAAUGUGUUUGACAAAAUGCUCAGGAGGGCAAGUAGUGCUGUGAUAUUUUGACAGAAGAUUUUGCAGUAUCGUUCCUUUC